This is a long non-coding RNA of Belonocnema kinseyi, 723 nucleotides long. RefSeq lists it as uncharacterized. The record is from RefSeq and is a predicted model, not a curated record. Lineage: Eukaryota; Metazoa; Arthropoda; Insecta; Hymenoptera; Cynipidae. The transcript has 3 exons.
AUUAUUACAGAAUAUUACAAACAUUAAAAUAAUAGGCUUCAUGAGGGUCAAGUAAAGGCUGUCCCUUCACACCCUGUAGCAUAUCCAUUUUUUAUUGUUAUAAUACGCAUACGCUUUGGUGGAAAUUCGUGAAAUUAUCCCUUAGAACAUUCUGUUCUUGCAUAAUUAAAUUAUCAGCUGUAUAUUUUCUAAUCUCAGAAUUGCAAUUUUAUUUUGUAGAAGAAGGGUAGAAAACGAGUUGCAAAUUUCACAAUUGCAGAAAAGCAGAUACUUCUACCGAUCGUGGACAAAUAUAGAAACAUUGUCGAGUGUAAGAAAACUGAUGCUGUGAGCAGCAAACAACAAUUACAGGCGUGGGAGGAAAUUUGCCAUGCUUUCAAUGCAAAAGGAUUAUCUCCUGAGUUCCGUCCGGCAAGUAAAAUAAAAGUUUUGUGGGAUAACAUAAAACGCGACACCCGAAGGAAAUUGAGCGUUUUGCGACAAGAAACAUUCAAAACAGGAGGCGAAACGAAUCCAGAGAAAGAAGACGUGUUUUGUCUACAAGUAAAGGAAAUAAUUGGCAGUACAGCAGAGCCAAUGGAGAAUGUUUAUGAUGAUGACGCUCUCGCAACAAAAUGGAACCAGCAAAUGCAAGGAUAAACCCAAGCGAAUCUGUCAGCCCGGUACAGACACUCAGAGAAAUUAGUAUAGAAUAUAAUUUUUUUAAUUAAAAUUAUUUCUUGA